AGAACGAACGCUGGCGGCAGGCCUCAAACAUGCAAGUCUAGGGGGCGUAGCAAUACGUUACCGGCGGACGGGUGCGUAACACGUGGGAAUGUACUUACUGGUUCGGAACAACUCAGGGAAACUUGAGCUAAUACCGAAUGUGCCCGAAAGGGGAAAGAUUUAUCGCCAGUAAAUCAGCCCGCGUCCGAUUAGCUAGUUGGCGGGGUAAAGGCCCACCAAGGCGACGAUCGGUAGCUGUUCUGAGAGGAAGAUCAGCCACACUGGGACUGAGACACGGCCCAGACUCCUACGGGAGGCAGCAGUUGGGAAUCUUGGACAAUGGGGGAAACCCUGAUCCAGCCAUGCCGCGUGAGUGAUGAAGGCCUUCGGGUUGUAAAACUCUUUCGACGGGGACGAUAAUGACGGUACCCGUAGAAGAAGCUCCGGCUAACUUCGUGCCAGCAGCCGC
Molecule: ribosomal RNA, 448 nt
Filed under: uncultured bacterium
Lineage: Bacteria
Description: SSU rRNA
Rfam family: Bacterial small subunit ribosomal RNA
Source: RNAcentral